GGCAGGGGGUACACCAGCGUGCUUGGAUCGAUGAUGAUUUCCAAUAAAACAUUCCUUGGAAAGCUGAACAAAAUGAGUGAAAACUCAAUACCGCCACUAUCAUCGUGACUGAGGUCCAGCACCUGGGAUCACAAAUGUCACCGAGGGACUCACAUGGCCUCCAUUCAUCUUGCAAGGCUUGGAUCCAGUGAGAGAGUCUUCAGAAUGUUCUUUGCUUGCCUAAAUCACCAGAAAUCAUGGCCUAAAUCAAGGCUUCACCUUUUGCUCUAAUGAUAACAUGCUUUCCGGUUGAGGAGAUCAUUGUCAGUAUCUUGGAAUUUAGCCCUAUCAACUCCUUCAGCAAUAAUGUAUAGUAGGUUGUGAGGAAAAUGUAAGUUUAGCGGGGGCAGCAUAGUUCAACAAUGUACACUGGAAUGUCAGGAAAUGUGUUUCUGUCCGUGUCUGAAGCCUUCGCAUGAAUGAUGACACUUCUGUUUCAUAAAACAGAGAUACAUAACGGGAAGGUUAAAGGCGACAUGUGGAAUGAGGCAGUAGCAAUUCUCAGGAACUAUGGGAAUGUGGACUCUUCCUGUGUGAAAACAAAGCUCUGUUUUCUUGAAAGACUGAUUGUGGCCAUGGCAAUUAGGUUGGAAAGAGAGCCUUGGAAUUUAAAAGGUUGGCAUGUAGCCUUCUUGUCUGUGGAUUUAGAAGUGCGUGCUUUCAAAUGUCCCAGGAUUCAUACCACCUUCAUGGAUAUAUGGAGAACACCCAUGUUAAUCCUAGUUUCUAUGUUUAUUGUUGGGACAUUUUUGUCAGUCUAUCCGGGUAGUUUGCCAGCAGUUCUUAUGGAUUGACUGUACCAAAAUGGUCUGGACAUACAUCUCCUCCUCUUCUAGGAUCUAAGAAUGUGAUCAUGCAAGUUUGAAUCUUACACACACUCCUUCUAGGAAUUUUAUAUUUUGGUAUGGCCGUAGAAGAUAGGCAUGGUUUGUCUGCGGGAUUAUCUCUCCUUAUGGUCUUGAUGUGGCCUUGCUGAAGGUUAACUUGGCAUUUUGGCUAUGUGUUUUGGGGCUGAUGGUAGUCCUGUUAUCUUAGACAUUGUUCUUUUCUCCAAGCAAAUAUCAACAAGAAAUUGUGUUUCCAUUUGAUUAUGAAAGUGAGCUGUAUGCUUAGGAUCAUGCUGUUGAUAAUAACAUAUAUCUCAGUGACUACAGGUUAUGCUUGUGUUUGGUGACCUGAGAGGGUUUGAACAGACACUUUCUCUGUGGUGAUCAAUGUCAGAUACCACAGCAAUAGCACUCACAGGAAUUUAGAACCAGUCAAAACCUGAAUAGGAGAUAUAUGAGCAUGGACAGAGACAGAGAGAAAGAACAAUUGUUGAAGAGGCUAAGCAUGUGUGAGACAGAGGAAGACAGUGAGAGACAGAAAGAGAGAGCGGGGGGAGAGAGGGGGUGUGAAGUGGAAAAGAGGACACUGUGAUAUUAAAGCAGAUAUCUUGAUUGACAGAAAUAAGGAAACCAAAUAGGGAGAAUGUGAGUGAGAAACUGAGAAGCUAGGAGAGUCACUGCAAGUCAAUUUCAGAGAGAAAGUGAAGAAGCGAGAUAGAGAAAGAGUACAUAAGAAGUCCAUUCAUCUAACGUGGAUGAGAAUCUUAUGUGAUAUUUGAAUCAGAUCUCAUCGAAGGCAGAGUAGGACUAAUAGGUGUAGUAUGUUAUGAUUAUGGAGGGUGCUCCGAUUGUGGCCAAAUCUAUUAAGAUUCUGAUGGUUUCCAUGGGAAGAGUAAGGCCUGAUUUUCUCUGUCAUAUCCGGCUGAACUGAGAUAUACUUAUUUUUGUAGACAACUUCCAUUAAGCCAUGUUAGUGGUCUCAUUCUGUUGUGUACCUCGUGCCAAUUUCUUUGGAUGGUUCUCAAGUGAUGUACAUACUACUGUAGUUUUCGGGAUCAGAUAUUGGCUUCGUCCCAUCUUAAGAACUUUGUUGCAUGGUAACCUCCAGGAAUUCGGUGAUAGAAUUGGGAAAAUUAUGUCCCCAAACAGUUCCUUGGAGGAAAAAUAUCUCUGAUAUGGAUUGUGAGGGCAAAUUUCUAGAAGACGGAAGGAGUGCUGAGAGAGCCCAAGUGUUCGAUAAAUUAAGAACUAACAACAAUGCAUCACAGUCUCCAUGAUUUGCAAGGAAUCCAAUAAAGUGGGGGUAUGUGCUAUUUGCUUUACUUUCAGGGACAGAGUCCCUGUCUCAUACCGGAAAAGGACGGCUUGCAGAGGAACUGAGUAUGGAACAUCAGAUGAAGUUGGAAGAAGCCUAACAUCGCCUGCCCUGAAGUCCUCAGUUGAAGCUCUCUUGCCUGAGGAUACCUGAAGUGAAAGGUAAGAAACACUUGACUUUCCAAAGGAACUCAAAGUGCUCAGGUGUUGAUGGAGCUCACAGGAGUUCCCAACCUUGAAUCAUGAUCCUAUGGGACCUGGUUCAGUCUCACUGUCUGUGGCUACUCCUGUGAUUGGAGAAUAGGCCCAUUGGUUCGUGGUAAAGGAUGUGAAUGUCUUGAAUUCUGUUCGCUCACCAAACCUGAUCUAUUUUGAGUAUACUAAGUGUCAUGACAGGGGGUACACCAGCGUGCUUGGAUCGAUUAUGAUUUCCAAUAAAACAUUCCUUGGAAAGCUGAACAAAAUGAGUGAAAACUCAAUACCGCCACUAUCAUCGUGACUGAGGUCCAGCACCUGGGAUCACAUAUGUCACCGAGGGACUCACAUGGCCUCCAUUCAUCCUGCAAGACUUGGAUCCAGUGAGAGAGCCUUCAGAAUGUUCUUUGCUUGCCUAAAUCACCAGAAAUCAUGGCCUAAAUCAAGGCUUCACCUUUUGCUCUAAUGAUAACAUGCUUUCCGGUUGAGGAGAUCAUUGUCAGUAUCUUGGAAGUUAGCCCUACCAACUCCAUCAGCAAUAAUGUAUAGUAGGUUGUGAGGCAAAUGUAAGUUUAGCGGGGGCAGCAUAGUUCAACAAUGUACACUGGAAUGUCAGGAAAUGUGUUUCUGUCCGUGUCUGAAGCCUUCGCAUGAAUGAUGACACUUCUGUUUCAUAAAACAGAGAUACAUAACGGGAAGGUUACAGGCGACAUGUGGAAUGAGGCAGUAGCAAUUCUCAGGAACUAUGGGAAUGUGGACUCUUCCUGUGUGAAAACAAAGCUCUGUUUUCUUGAAAGACUGAUUGUGGCCAUGGCAAUUAGGUUGGAAAGAGAGCCUUGGAAUUUAAAAGGUUGGCAUGUAGCCUUCUUGUCUGUGGAUUUAGAAGUGCAUGCUUUCAAAUGUCCCAGGAUUCAUACCACCUUCAUGGAUGUAUGGAGAACACCCAUUUUAAUCCUAGUUUCUAUGUUUAUUGUUGGGACAUUUUUUGUCAGUCUAUCCGGGUAGUUUGCCAGCAGUUCUUAUGGAUUGACUGUACCAAAAUGGUCUGGACAUACAUCUCCUCCUCUUCUAGGAUCUAAGAAUGUGGGCAUGCAAGUUUGAAUCUUACACACACUCCUUCUAGGAAUUUUAUAUUUUGGUAUGGCCGUAGAAGAUAGGCAUGGAGUGUCUGCGGGAUUAUCUCUCCUUAUGGUCUUGAUGUGGCCUUGCUGAAGGUUAACUUGGCAUUUUGGCUAUGUGUUUUGGGGCUGAUGGUAGUCCUGUUAUCUUAGACAUUGUUCUUUUCUCCAAGCAAAUAUCAACAAGAAAUUGUGUUUCCAUUUGAUUAUGAAAGUGAGCUGUAUGCUUAGGAUCAUGCUGUUGAUAAUAACAUAUAUCUCAGUGACUACAGGUUAUGCUUGUGUUUGGUGACCUGAGAGGGUUUGAACAGACACUUUCUCUGUGGUGAUCAAUGUCAGAUACCACAGCAAUAGCACUCACAGGAAUUUAGAACCAGUCAAAACCUGAAUAGGAGAUAUAUGAGCAUGGACAGAGACAGAGAGAAAGAACAAUUGUUGAAGAGGCUAAGCAUGUGUGAGACAGAGGAAGACAGUGAGAGACAGAAAGAGAGAGCGGGGGGAGAGAGGGGGGGUGAAGUGGAAAAGAGGACACUGUGAUAUUAAAGCAGAUAUCUUGAUUGACAGAAAUAAGGAAACCAAAUAGGGAGAAUGUGAGUGAGAAACUGAGAAGCUCGGAGAGUCACUGCAAGUCAAUUUCAGAGAGAAAGUGAAGAAGCGAGAUAGAGAAAGAGUACAUAAGAAGUCCAUUCAUCUAACGUGGAUGAGAAUCUUAUAUGAUAUUUGAAUCAGAUCUCAUCGAAGGCAGAGUAGGACUAAUAGGUGUAGUAUGUUAUGAUUAUGGAGGGUGCUCCGAUUGUGGCCAAAUCUAUUAAGAUUCUGAUGGUUUCCAUGGGAAGAGUAAGGCCUGAUUUUCUCUGUCAUAUCCGGCUGAACUGAGAUAUACUUAUUUUUGUAGACAACUUCCAUUAAGCCAUGUUAGUGGUCUCAUUCUGUUGUGUACCUCGUGCCAAUUUCUUUGGAUGGUUCUCAAGUGAUGUACAUACUACUGUAGUUUUCGGGAUCAGAUAUUGGCUUCGUCCCAUCUUAAGAUCUUUGUUGCAUGGUAACCUCCAGGAAUUCGGUGAUAGAAUUGGGAAAAUUAUGUCCCCAAACAGUUCCUUGGAGGAAAAAUAUCUCUGAUAUGGAUUGUGAGGGCAAAUUUCUAGAAGACGGAAGGAGUGCUGAGAGAGCCCAAGUGUUCGAUAAAUUAAGAACUAACAACAAUGCAUCACAGUCUCCAUGAUUUGCAAGGAAUCCAAUAAAGUGGGGGUAUGUGCUAUUUGCUUUACUUUCAGGGACAGAGUCCCUGUCUCAUACCGGAAAAGGACGGCUUGCAGAGGAACUGAGUAUGGAACAUCAGAUGAAGUUGGAAGAAGCCUAACAUCGCCUGCCCUGAAGUCCUCAGUUGAAGCUCUCUUGCCUGAGGAUACCUGAAGUGAAAGGUAAGAAACACUUGACUUUCCAAAGGAACUCAAAGUGCUCAGGUGUUGAUAGAGCUCACAGGAGUUCCCAACCUUGAAUCAUGAUCCUAUGGGACCUGGUUCAGUCUCACUGUCUGUGGCUACUCCUGUGAUUGGAGAAUAGGCCCAUUGGUUCGUGGUAAAGGAUGUGAAUGUCUUGAAUUCUGUUCGCUCACCAAACCUGAUCUAUUUUGAGUAUACUAAGUGUCAUGGCAGGGGGUACACCAGCGUGCUUGGAUCGAUGAUGAUUUCCAAUAAAACAUUCCUUGGAAAGCUGAACAAAAUGAGUGAAAACUCAAUACCGCCACUAUCAUCGUGACUGAGGUCCAGCACCUGGGAUCACAUAUGUCACCGAGGGACUCACAUGGCCUCCAUUCAUCUUGCGAGACUUGGAUCCAGUGAGAGAGCCGUCAGAAUGUUCUUUGCUUGCCUAAAUCACCAGAAAUCAUGGCCUAAAUCAAGGCUUCACCUUUUGCUCUAAUGAUAACAUGCUUUCCGGUUGAGGAGAUCAUUGUCAGUAUCUUGGAAGUUAGCCCUACCAACUCCAUCAGCAAUAAUGUAUAGUAGGUUGUGAGGCAAAUGUAAGUUUAGCGGGGGCAGCAUAGUUCAACAAUGUACACUGGAAUGUCAGGAAAUGUGUUUCUGUCCGUGUCUGAAGCCUUCGCAUGAAUGAUGACACUUCUGUUUCAUAAAACAGAGAUACAUAACGGGAAGGUUACAGGCGACAUGUGGAAUGAGGCAGUAGCAAUUCUCAGGAACUAUGGGAAUGUGGACUCUUCCUGUGUGAAAACAAAGCUCUGUUUUCUUGAAAGACUGAUUGUGGCCAUGGCAAUUAGGUUGGAAAGAGAGCCUUGGAAUUUAAAAGGUUGGCAUGUAGCCUUCUUGUCUGUGGAUUUAGAAGUGCAUGCUUUCAAAUGUCCCAGGAUUCAUACCACCUUCAUGGAUGUAUGGAGAACACCCAUUUUAAUCCUAGUUUCUAUGUUUAUUGUUGGGACAUUUUUUGUCAGUCUAUCCGGGUAGUUUGCCAGCAGUUCUUAUGGAUUGACUGUACCAAAAUGGUCUGGACAUACAUCUCCUCCUCUUCUAGGAUCUAAGAAUGUGGGCAUGCAAGUUUGAAUCUUACACACACUCCUUCUAGGAAUUUUAUAUUUUGGUAUGGCCGUAGAAGAUAGGCAUGGAGUGUCUGCGGGAUUAUCUCUCCUUAUGGUCUUGAUGUGGCCUUGCUGAAGGUUAACUUGGCAUUUUGGCUAUGUGUUUUGGGGCUGAUGGUAGUCCUGUUAUCUUAGACAUUGUUCUUUUCUCCAAGCAAAUAUCAACAAGAAAUUGUGUUUCCAUUUGAUUAUGAAAGUGAGCUGUAUGCUUAGGAUCAUGCUGUUGAUAAUAACAUAUAUCUCAGUGACUACAGGUUAUGCUUGUGUUUGGUGACCUGAGAGGGUUUGAACAGACACUUUCUCUGUGGUGAUCAAUGUCAGAUACCACAGCAAUAGCACUCACAGGAAUUUAGAACCAGUCAAAACCUGAAUAGGAGAUAUAUGAGCAUGGACAGAGACAGAGAGAAAGAACAAUUGUUGAAGAGGCUAAGCAUGUGUGAGACAGAGGAAGACAGUGAGAGACAGAAAGAGAGAGCGGGGGGAGAGAGGGGGGGUGAAGUGGAAAAGAGGACACUGUGAUAUUAAAGCAGAUAUCUUGAUUGACAGAAAUAAGGAAACCAAAUAGGGAGAAUGUGAGUGAGAAACUGAGAAGCUCGGAGAGUCACUGCAAGUCAAUUUCAGAGAGAAAGUGAAGAAGCGAGAUAGAGAAAGAGUACAUAAGAAGUCCAUUCAUCUAACGUGGAUGAGAAUCUUAUAUGAUAUUUGAAUCAGAUCUCAUCGAAGGCAGAGUAGGACUAAUAGGUGUAGUAUGUUAUGAUUAUGGAGGGUGCUCCGAUUGUGGCCAAAUCUAUUAAGAUUCUGAUGGUUUCCAUGGGAAGAGUAAGGCCUGAUUUUCUCUGUCAUAUCCGGCUGAACUGAGAUAUACUUAUUUUUGUAGACAACUUCCAUUAAGCCAUGUUAGUGGUCUCAUUCUGUUGUGUACCUCGUGCCAAUUUCUUUGGAUGGUUCUCAAGUGAUGUACAUACUACUGUAGUUUUCGGGAUCAGAUAUUGGCUUCGUCCCAUCUUAAGAUCUUUGUUGCAUGGUAACCUCCAGGAAUUCGGUGAUAGAAUUGGGAAAAUUAUGUCCCCAAACAGUUCCUUGGAGGAAAAAUAUCUCUGAUAUGGAUUGUGAGGGCAAAUUUCUAGAAGACGGAAGGAGUGCUGAGAGAGCCCAAGUGUUCGAUAAAUUAAGAACUAACAACAAUGCAUCACAGUCUCCAUGAUUUGCAAGGAAUCCAAUAAAGUGGGGGUAUGUGCUAUUUGCUUUACUUUCAGGGACAGAGUCCCUGUCUCAUACCGGAAAAGGACGGCUUGCAGAGGAACUGAGUAUGGAACAUCAGAUGAAGUUGGAAGAAGCCUAACAUCGCCUGCCCUGAAGUCCUCAGUUGAAGCUCUCUUGCCUGAGGAUACCUGAAGUGAAAGGUAAGAAACACUUGACUUUCCAAAGGAACUCAAAGUGCUCAGGUGUUGAUAGAGCUCACAGGAGUUCCCAACCUUGAAUCAUGAUCCUAUGGGACCUGGUUCAGUCUCACUGUCUGUGGCUACUCCUGUGAUUGGAGAAUAGGCCCAUUGGUUCGUGGUAAAGGAUGUGAAUGUCUUGAAUUCUGUUCGCUCACCAAACCUGAUCUAUUUUGAGUAUACUAAGUGUCAUGGCAGGGGGUACACCAGCGUGCUUGGAUCGAUGAUGAUUUCCAAUAAAACAUUCCUUGGAAAGCUGAACAAAAUGAGUGAAAACUCAAUACCGCCACUAUCAUCGUGACUGAGGUCCAGCACCUGGGAUCACAUAUGUCACCGAGGGACUCACAUGGCCUCCAUUCAUCUUGCGAGACUUGGAUCCAGUGAGAGAGCCUUCAGAAUGUUCUUUGCUUGCCUAAAUCACCAGAAAUCAUGGCCUAAAUCAAGGCUUCACCUUUUGCUCUAAUGAUAACAUGCUUUCCGGUUGAGGAGAUCAUUGUCAGUAUCUUGGAAGUUAGCCCUACCAACUCCAUCAGCAAUAAUGUAUAGUAGGUUGUGAGGCAAAUGUAAGUUUACCGGGGGCAGCAUAGUUCAACAAUGUACACUGGAAUGUCAGGAAAUGUGUUUCUGUCCGUGUCUGAAGCCUUCGCAUGAAUGAUGACACUUCUGUUUCAUAAAACAGAGAUACAUAACGGGAAGGUUACAGGCGACAUGUGGAAUGAGGCAGUAGCAAUUCUCAGGAACUAUGGGAAUGUGGACUCUUCCUGUGUGAAAACAAAGCUCUGUUUUCUUGAAAGACUGAUUGUGGCCAUGGCAAUUAGGUUGGAAAGAGAGCCUUGGAAUUUAAAAGGUUGGCAUGUAGCCUUUUUGUCUGUGGAUUUAGAAGUGCAUGCUUUCAAAUGUCCCAGGAUUCAUACCACCUUCAUGGAUGUAUGAAGAACACCCAUUUUAAUCCUAGUUUCUAUGUUUAUUGUUGGGACAUUUUUUGUCAGUCUAUCCGGGUAGUUUGCCAGCAGUUCUUAUGGAUUGACUGUAUCAAAAUGGUCUGGACAUACAUCUCCUCCUCUUCUAGGAUCUAAGAAUGUGAGCAUGCAAGUUUGAAUCUUACACACACUCCUUCUAGGAAUUUUAUAUUUUGGUAUGGCCGUAGAAGAUAGGCAUGGAGUGUCUGCGGGAUUAUCUCUCCUUAUGGUCUUGAUGUGGCCUUGCUGAAGGUUAACUUGGCAUUUUGGCUAUGUGUUUUGGGGCUGAUGGUAGUCCUGUUAUCUUAGACAUUGUUCUUUUCUCCAAGCAAAUAUCAACAAGAAAUUGUGUUUCCAUUUGAUUAUGAAAGUGAGCUGUAUGCUUAGGAUCAUGCUGUUGAUAAUAACAUAUAUCUCAGUGACUACAGGUUAUGCUUGUGUUUGAUGACCUGAGAGGGUUUGAACAGACACUUUCUCCGUGGUGAUCAAUGUCAGAUACCACAGCAAUAGCACUCACAGGAAUUUAGAACCAGUCAAAACCUGAAUAGGAGAUAUAUGAGCAUGGACAGAGAUAGAGAAAGAACAAUUGUUGAAGAGGCUAAGCAUGUGUGAGACAGAGGAAGACAGUGAGAGACAGAAAGAGAGAGCGGGGGGAGUGAGGGGGGGUGAAGUGGAAAAGAGGACACUGUGAUAUUAAAGCAGAUAUCUUGAUUGACAGAAAUAAGGAAACCAAAUAGAGAGAAUGUGAGUGAGAAAGUGAGAAGCUAGGAGAGUCACUGCAAGUCAAUUUCAGAGAGAAAGUGAAGAAGCGAGAUAGAGAAAGAGUACAUAAGAAGUCCAUUCAUCGGGGCUGGGGAUUUAGCUCAGUGGUAGAGCGCUUGCCUAGGAAGCACAAGGCCCUGGGUUCGGUCCCCAGCUCCGGAAAAAAAAAAAAAAAAAAAAGAACCAAAGAAGUCCAUUCAUCUAACGUGGAUGAGAAUCUUAUAUGAUAUUUGAAUCAGAUCUCAUCGAAGGCAGAGUAGGACUAAUAGGUGUAGUAUGUUAUGAUUAUGGAUGGUGCUCCGAUUGUGGCCAAAUCUAUAAGAUUCUGAUGGUUUCCAUGGGAAGAGUAAGGCCUGAUUUUCUCUGUCAUAUCCGGCUGAACUGAGAUAUACUUAUUUUUGUAGACACUUCCAUUAAGCCAUGUUAGUGGUCUCAUUCUGUUGUGUACCUCGUGCCAAUUUCUUUGGAUGGUUCUCAAGUGAUGUACAUACUACUGUAGUUUUCGGGAUCAGAUAUUGGCUUCGUCCCAUCUUAAGAACUUUGUUGCAUGGUAACCUCCAGGAAUUCGGUGAUAGAAUUGGGAAAAUUAUGUCCCCAAGCAGUUCCUUGGAGGAAAAAUAUCUCUGAUAUGGAUUGUGAGGGCAAAUUUCUAGAGGACGGAAGGAGUGCUGAGAGAGCCCAAGUGUUCGAUAAAUUAAGAACUAACAACAAUGCAUCACAGUCUCCAUGAUAUGCAAGGAAUCCAAUAAAGUGGGGGAAUGUGCUAUUUGCUUCAUUUUCAGGGACAGAGUCCCUGUCUCAUACCGGAAAAGGACGGCUUGCAGAGGAACUGAGUAUGGAACAUCAGAUGAAGUUGGAAGAAGCCUAACAUCGCCUGCCCUGAAGUCCUCAGUUGAAGUUCUCUUGCCUGAGGAUACCUGAAGUGAAAGGUAAGAAACACUUGACUUUCCAAAGGAACUCAAAGUGCUCAAGUGUUGAUGGAGCUCGCAGGAGUUCCCAACCAUGAAUCAUGAUCCUUUGGGAUCUGGUUCAGCCUCACUGCCUGUUGCUACUCCUGUGAUUGGAGAAUAGGCCCAUUGGUUCGUGGUAAAGGAUGUGAAUGUCUUGAAUUCUGUUCGCUCACCAAACCUGAUCUAUUUUGAGUAUACUAAGUGUCAUGGCAGGGGGUACACCAGCGUGCUUGGAUCGAUGAUGAUUUCCAAUAAAACAUUCCUUGGAAAGCUGAACAAAAUGAGUGAAAACUCAAUACCGCCACUAUCAUCGUGACUGAGGUCCAGCACCUGGGAUCACAUAUGUCACCGAGGGACUCACAUGGCCUCCAUUCAUCUUGCGAGACUUGGAUCCAGUGAGAGAGCCGUCAGAAUGUUCUUUGCUUGCCUAAAUCACCAGAAAUCAUGGCCUAAAUCAAGGCUUCACCUUUUGCUCUAAUGAUAACAUGCUUUCCGGUUGAGGAGAUCAUUGUCAGUAUCUUGGAAGUUAGCCCUACCAACUCCAUCAGCAAUAAUGUAUAGUAGGUUGUGAGGCAAAUGUAAGUUUAGCGGGGGCAGCAUAGUUCAACAAUGUACACUGGAAUGUCAGGAAAUGUGUUUCUGUCCGUGUCUGAAGCCUUCGCAUGAAUGAUGACACUUCUGUUUCAUAAAACAGAGAUACAUAACGGGAAGGUUACAGGCGACAUGUGGAAUGAGGCAGUAGCAAUUCUCAGGAACUAUGGGAAUGUGGACUCUUCCUGUGUGAAAACAAAGCUCUGUUUUCUUGAAAGACUGAUUGUGGCCAUGGCAAUUAGGUUGGAAAGAGAGCCUUGGAAUUUAAAAGGUUGGCAUGUAGCCUUCUUGUCUGUGGAUUUAGAAGUGCAUGCUUUCAAAUGUCCCAGGAUUCAUACCACCUUCAUGGAUGUAUGGAGAACACCCAUUUUAAUCCUAGUUUCUAUGUUUAUUGUUGGGACAUUUUUUGUCAGUCUAUCCGGGUAGUUUGCCAGCAGUUCUUAUGGAUUGACUGUACCAAAAUGGUCUGGACAUACAUCUCCUCCUCUUCUAGGAUCUAAGAAUGUGGGCAUGCAAGUUUGAAUCUUACACACACUCCUUCUAGGAAUUUUAUAUUUUGGUAUGGCCGUAGAAGAUAGGCAUGGAGUGUCUGCGGGAUUAUCUCUCCUUAUGGUCUUGAUGUGGCCUUGCUGAAGGUUAACUUGGCAUUUUGGCUAUGUGUUUUGGGGCUGAUGGUAGUCCUGUUAUCUUAGACAUUGUUCUUUUCUCCAAGCAAAUAUCAACAAGAAAUUGUGUUUCCAUUUGAUUAUGAAAGUGAGCUGUAUGCUUAGGAUCAUGCUGUUGAUAAUAACAUAUAUCUCAGUGACUACAGGUUAUGCUUGUGUUUGGUGACCUGAGAGGGUUUGAACAGACACUUUCUCUGUGGUGAUCAAUGUCAGAUACCACAGCAAUAGCACUCACAGGAAUUUAGAACCAGUCAAAACCUGAAUAGGAGAUAUAUGAGCAUGGACAGAGACAGAGAGAAAGAACAAUUGUUGAAGAGGCUAAGCAUGUGUGAGACAGAGGAAGACAGUGAGAGACAGAAAGAGAGAGCGGGGGGAGAGAGGGGGGGUGAAGUGGAAAAGAGGACACUGUGAUAUUAAAGCAGAUAUCUUGAUUGACAGAAAUAAGGAAACCAAAUAGGGAGAAUGUGAGUGAGAAACUGAGAAGCUCGGAGAGUCACUGCAAGUCAAUUUCAGAGAGAAAGUGAAGAAGCGAGAUAGAGAAAGAGUACAUAAGAAGUCCAUUGAUCUAACGUGGAUGAGAAUCUUAUAUGAUAUUUGAAUCAGAUCUCAUCGAAGGCAGAGUAGGACUAAUAGGUGUAGUAUGUUAUGAUUAUGGAGGGUGCUCCGAUUGUGGCCAAAUCUAUUAAGAUUCUGAUGGUUUCCAUGGGAAGAGUAAGGCCUGAUUUUCUCUGUCAUAUCCGGCUGAACUGAGAUAUACUUAUUUUUGUAGACAACUUCCAUUAAGCCAUGUUAGUGGUCUCAUUCUGUUGUGUACCUCGUGCCAAUUUCUUUGGAUGGUUCUCAAGUGAUGUACAUACUACUGUAGUUUUCGGGAUCAGAUAUUGGCUUCGUCCCAUCUUAAGAUCUUUGUUGCAUGGUAACCUCCAGGAAUUCGGUGAUAGAAUUGGGAAAAUUAUGUCCCCAAACAGUUCCUUGGAGGAAAAAUAUCUCUGAUAUGGAUUGUGAGGGCAAAUUUCUAGAAGACGGAAGGAGUGCUGAGAGAGCCCAAGUGUUCGAUAAAUUAAGAACUAACAACAAUGCAUCACAGUCUCCAUGAUUUGCAAGGAAUCCAAUAAAGUGGGGGUAUGUGCUAUUUGCUUUACUUUCAGGGACAGAGUCCCUGUCUCAUACCGGAAAAGGACGGCUUGCAGAGGAACUGAGUAUGGAACAUCAGAUGAAGUUGGAAGAAGCCUAACAUCGCCUGCCCUGAAGUCCUCAGUUGAAGCUCUCUUGCCUGAGGAUACCUGAAGUGAAAGGUAAGAAACACUUGACUUUCCAAAGGAACUCAAAGUGCUCAGGUGUUGAUAGAGCUCACAGGAGUUCCCAACCUUGAAUCAUGAUCCUAUGGGACCUGGUUCAGUCUCACUGUCUGUGGCUACUCCUGUGAUUGGAGAAUAGGCCCAUUGGUUCGUGGUAAAGGAUGUGAAUGUCUUGAAUUCUGUUCGCUCACCAAACCUGAUCUAUUUUGAGUAUACUAAGUGUCAUGGCAGGGGGUACACCAGCGUGCUUGGAUCGAUGAUGAUUUCCAAUAAAACAUUCCUUGGAAAGCUGAACAAAAUGAGUGAAAACUCAAUACCGCCACUAUCAUCGUGACUGAGGUCCAGCACCUGGGAUCACAUAUGUCACCGAGGGACUCACAUGGCCUCCAUUCAUCUUGCGAGACUUGGAUCCAGUGAGAGAGCCGUCAGAAUGUUCUUUGCUUGCCUAAAUCACCAGAAAUCAUGGCCUAAAUCAAGGCUUCACCUUUUGCUCUAAUGAUAACAUGCUUUCCGGUUGAGGAGAUCAUUGUCAGUAUCUUGGAAGUUAGCCCUACCAACUCCAUCAGCAAUAAUGUAUAGUAGGUUGUGAGGCAAAUGUAAGUUUAGCGGGGGCAGCAUAGUUCAACAAUGUACACUGGAAUGUCAGGAAAUGUGUUUCUGUCCGUGUCUGAAGCCUUCGCAUGAAUGAUGACACUUCUGUUUCAUAAAACAGAGAUACAUAACGGGAAGGUUACAGGCGACAUGUGGAAUGAGGCAGUAGCAAUUCUCAGGAACUAUGGGAAUGUGGACUCUUCCUGUGUGAAAACAAAGCUCUGUUUUCUUGAAAGACUGAUUGUGGCCAUGGCAAUUAGGUUGGAAAGAGAGCCUUGGAAUUUAAAAGGUUGGCAUGUAGCCUUCUUGUCUGUGGAUUUAGAAGUGCAUGCUUUCAAAUGUCCCAGGAUUCAUACCACCUUCAUGGAUGUAUGGAGAACACCCAUUUUAAUCCUAGUUUCUAUGUUUAUUGUUGGGACAUUUUUUGUCAGUCUAUCCGGGUAGUUUGCCAGCAGUUCUUAUGGAUUGACUGUACCAAAAUGGUCUGGACAUACAUCUCCUCCUCUUCUAGGAUCUAAGAAUGUGGGCAUGCAAGUUUGAAUCUUACACACACUCCUUCUAGGAAUUUUAUAUUUUGGUAUGGCCGUAGAAGAUAGGCAUGGAGUGUCUGCGGGAUUAUCUCUCCUUAUGGUCUUGAUGUGGCCUUGCUGAAGGUUAACUUGGCAUUUUGGCUAUGUGUUUUGGGGCUGAUGGUAGUCCUGUUAUCUUAGACAUUGUUCUUUUCUCCAAGCAAAUAUCAACAAGAAAUUGUGUUUCCAUUUGAUUAUGAAAGUGAGCUGUAUGCUUAGGAUCAUGCUGUUGAUAAUAACAUAUAUCUCAGUGACUACAGGUUAUGCUUGUGUUUGGUGACCUGAGAGGGUUUGAACAGACACUUUCUCUGUGGUGAUCAAUGUCAGAUACCACAGCAAUAGCACUCACAGGAAUUUAGAACCAGUCAAAACCUGAAUAGGAGAUAUAUGAGCAUGGACAGAGACAGAGAGAAAGAACAAUUGUUGAAGAGGCUAAGCAUGUGUGAGACAGAGGAAGACAGUGAGAGACAGAAAGAGAGAGCGGGGGGAGAGAGGGGGGGUGAAGUGGAAAAGAGGACACUGUGAUAUUAAAGCAGAUAUCUUGAUUGACAGAAAUAAGGAAACCAAAUAGGGAGAAUGUGAGUGAGAAACUGAGAAGCUCGGAGAGUCACUGCAAGUCAAUUUCAGAGAGAAAGUGAAGAAGCGAGAUAGAGAAAGAGUACAUAAGAAGUCCAUUCAUCUAACGUGGAUGAGAAUCUUAUAUGAUAUUUGAAUCAGAUCUCAUCGAAGGCAGAGUAGGACUAAUAGGUGUAGUAUGUUAUGAUUAUGGAGGGUGCUCCGAUUGUGGCCAAAUCUAUUAAGAUUCUGAUGGUUUCCAUGGGAAGAGUAAGGCCUGAUUUUCUCUGUCAUAUCCGGCUGAACUGAGAUAUACUUAUUUUUGUAGACAACUUCCAUUAAGCCAUGUUAGUGGUCUCAUUCUGUUGUGUACCUCGUGCCAAUUUCUUUGGAUGGUUCUCAAGUGAUGUACAUACUACUGUAGUUUUCGGGAUCAGAUAUUGGCUUCGUCCCAUCUUAAGAUCUUUGUUGCAUGGUAACCUCCAGGAAUUCGGUGAUAGAAUUGGGAAAAUUAUGUCCCCAAACAGUUCCUUGGAGGAAAAAUAUCUCUGAUAUGGAUUGUGAGGGCAAAUUUCUAGAAGACGGAAGGAGUGCUGAGAGAGCCCAAGUGUUCGAUAAAUUAAGAACUAACAACAAUGCAUCACAGUCUCCAUGAUUUGCAAGGAAUCCAAUAAAGUGGGGGUAUGUGCUAUUUGCUUUACUUUCAGGGACAGAGUCCCUGUCUCAUACCGGAAAAGGACGGCUUGCAGAGGAACUGAGUAUGGAACAUCAGAUGAAGUUGGAAGAAGCCUAACAUCGCCUGCCCUGAAGUCCUCAGUUGAAGCUCUCUUGCCUGAGGAUACCUGAAGUGAAAGGUAAGAAACACUUGACUUUCCAAAGGAACUCAAAGUGCUCAGGUGUUGAUAGAGCUCACAGGAGUUCCCAACCUUGAAUCAUGAUCCUAUGGGACCUGGUUCAGUCUCACUGUCUGUGGCUACUCCUGUGAUUGGAGAAUAGGCCCAUUGGUUCGUGGUAAAGGAUGUGAAUGUCUUGAAUUCUGUUCGCUCACCAAACCUGAUCUAUUUUGAGUAUACUAAGUGUCAUGGCAGGGGGUACACCAGCGUGCUUGGAUCGAUGAUGAUUUCCAAUAAAACAUUCCUUGGAAAGCUGAACAAAAUGAGUGAAAACUCAAUACCGCCACUAUCAUCGUGACUGAGGUCCAGCACCUGGGAUCACAUAUGUCACCGAGGGACUCACAUGGCCUCCAUUCAUCUUGCGAGACUUGGAUCCAGUGAGAGAGCCUUCAGAAUGUUCUUUGCUUGCCUAAAUCACCAGAAAUCAUGGCCUAAAUCAAGGCUUCACCUUUUGCUCUAAUGAUAACAUGCUUUCCGGUUGAGGAGAUCAUUGUCAGUAUCUUGGAAGUUAGCCCUACCAACUCCAUCAGCAAUAAUGUAUAGUAGGUUGUGAGGCAAAUGUAAGUUUACCGGGGGCAGCAUAGUUCAACAAUGUACACUGGAAUGUCAGGAAAUGUGUUUCUGUCCGUGUCUGAAGCCUUCGCAUGAAUGAUGACACUUCUGUUUCAUAAAACAGAGAUACAUAACGGGAAGGUUACAGGCGACAUGUGGAAUGAGGCAGUAGCAAUUCUCAGGAACUAUGGGAAUGUGGACUCUUCCUGUGUGAAAACAAAGCUCUGUUUUCUUGAAAGACUGAUUGUGGCCAUGGCAAUUAGGUUGGAAAGAGAGCCUUGGAAUUUAAAAGGUUGGCAUGUAGCCUUUUUGUCUGUGGAUUUAGAAGUGCAUGCUUUCAAAUGUCCCAGGAUUCAUACCACCUUCAUGGAUGUAUGAAGAACACCCAUUUUAAUCCUAGUUUCUAUGUUUAUUGUUGGGACAUUUUUUGUCAGUCUAUCCGGGUAGUUUGCCAGCAGUUCUUAUGGAUUGACUGUAUCAAAAUGGUCUGGACAUACAUCUCCUCCUCUUCUAGGAUCUAAGAAUGUGAGCAUGCAAGUUUGAAUCUUACACACACUCCUUCUAGGAAUUUUAUAUUUUGGUAUGGCCGUAGAAGAUAGGCAUGGAGUGUCUGCGGGAUUAUCUCUCCUUAUGGUCUUGAUGUGGCCUUGCUGAAGGUUAACUUGGCAUUUUGGCUAUGUGUUUUGGGGCUGAUGGUAGUCCUGUUAUCUUAGACAUUGUUCUUUUCUCCAAGCAAAUAUCAACAAGAAAUUGUGUUUCCAUUUGAUUAUGAAAGUGAGCUGUAUGCUUAGGAUCAUGCUGUUGAUAAUAACAUAUAUCUCAGUGACUACAGGUUAUGCUUGUGUUUGAUGACCUGAGAGGGUUUGAACAGACACUUUCUCCGUGGUGAUCAAUGUCAGAUACCACAGCAAUAGCACUCACAGGAAUUUAGAACCAGUCAAAACCUGAAUAGGAGAUAUAUGAGCAUGGACAGAGAUAGAGAAAGAACAAUUGUUGAAGAGGCUAAGCAUGUGUGAGACAGAGGAAGACAGUGAGAGACAGAAAGAGAGAGCGGGGGGAGUGAGGGGGGGUGAAGUGGAAAAGAGGACACUGUGAUAUUAAAGCAGAUAUCUUGAUUGACAGAAAUAAGGAAACCAAAUAGAGAGAAUGUGAGUGAGAAAGUGAGAAGCUAGGAGAGUCACUGCAAGUCAAUUUCAGAGAGAAAGUGAAGAAGCGAGAUAGAGAAAGAGUACAUAAGAAGUCCAUUCAUCGGGGCUGGGGAUUUAGCUCAGUGGUAGAGCGCUUGCCUAGGAAGCACAAGGCCCUGGGUUCGGUCCCCAGCUCCGGAAAAAAAAAAAAAAAAAAAAGAACCAAAGAAGUCCAUUCAUCUAACGUGGAUGAGAAUCUUAUAUGAUAUUUGAAUCAGAUCUCAUCGAAGGCAGAGUAGGACUAAUAGGUGUAGUAUGUUAUGAUUAUGGAUGGUGCUCCGAUUGUGGCCAAAUCUAUAAGAUUCUGAUGGUUUCCAUGGGAAGAGUAAGGCCUGAUUUUCUCUGUCAUAUCCGGCUGAACUGAGAUAUACUUAUUUUUGUAGACACUUCCAUUAAGCCAUGUUAGUGGUCUCAUUCUGUUGUGUACCUCGUGCCAAUUUCUUUGGAUGGUUCUCAAGUGAUGUACAUACUACUGUAGUUUUCGGGAUCAGAUAUUGGCUUCGUCCCAUCUUAAGAACUUUGUUGCAUGGUAACCUCCAGGAAUUCGGUGAUAGAAUUGGGAAAAUUAUGUCCCCAAACAGUUCCUUGGAGGAAAAAUAUCUCUGAUAUGGAUUGUGAGGGCAAAUUUCUAGAGGACGGAAGGAGUGCUGAGAGAGCCCAAGUGUUCGAUAAAUUAAGAACUAACAACAAUGCAUCACAGUCUCCAUGAUAUGCAAGGAAUCCAAUAAAGUGGGGGAAUGUGCUAUUUGCUUCAUUUUCAGGGACAGAGUCCCUGUCUCAUACCGGAAAAGGACGGCUUGCAGAGGAACUGAGUAUGGAACAUCAGAUGAAGUUGGAAGAAGCCUAACAUCGCCUGCCCUGAAGUCCUCAGUUGAAGUUCUCUUGCCUGAGGAUACCUGAAGUGAAAGGUAAGAAACACUUGACUUUCCAAAGGAACUCAAAGUGCUCAAGUGUUGAUGGAGCUCGCAGGAGUUCCCAACCAUGAAUCAUGAUCCUUUGGGAUCUGGUUCAGCCUCACUGCCUGUUGCUACUCCUGUGAUUGGAGAAUAGGCCCAUUGGUUCGUGGUAAAGGAUGUGAAUGUCUUGAAUUCUGUUCGCUCACCAAACCUGAUCUAUUUUGAGUAUACUAAGUGUCAUGGCAGGGGGUACACCAGCGUGCUUGGAUCGAUGAUGAUUUCCAAUAAAACAUUCCUUGGAAAGCUGAACAAAAUGAGUGAAAACUCAAUACCGCCACUAUCAUCGUGACUGAGGUCCAGCACCUGGGAUCACAUAUGUCACCGAGGGACUCACAUGGCCUCCAUUCAUCUUGCGAGACUUGGAUCCAGUGAGAGAGCCGUCAGAAUGUUCUUUGCUUGCCUAAAUCACCAGAAAUCAUGGCCUAAAUCAAGGCUUCACCUUUUGCUCUAAUGAUAACAUGCUUUCCGGUUGAGGAGAUCAUUGUCAGUAUCUUGGAAGUUAGCCCUACCAACUCCAUCAGCAAUAAUGUAUAGUAGGUUGUGAGGCAAAUGUAAGUUUAGCGGGGGCAGCAUAGUUCAACAAUGUACACUGGAAUGUCAGGAAAUGUGUUUCUGUCCGUGUCUGAAGCCUUCGCAUGAAUGAUGACACUUCUGUUUCAUAAAACAGAGAUACAUAACGGGAAGGUUACAGGCGACAUGUGGAAUGAGGCAGUAGCAAUUCUCAGGAACUAUGGGAAUGUGGACUCUUCCUGUGUGAAAACAAAGCUCUGUUUUCUUGAAAGACUGAUUGUGGCCAUGGCAAUUAGGUUGGAAAGAGAGCCUUGGAAUUUAAAAGGUUGGCAUGUAGCCUUCUUGUCUGUGGAUUUAGAAGUGCAUGCUUUCAAAUGUCCCAGGAUUCAUACCACCUUCAUGGAUGUAUGGAGAACACCCAUUUUAAUCCUAGUUUCUAUGUUUAUUGUUGGGACAUUUUUUGUCAGUCUAUCCGGGUAGUUUGCCAGCAGUUCUUAUGGAUUGACUGUACCAAAAUGGUCUGGACAUACAUCUCCUCCUCUUCUAGGAUCUAAGAAUGUGGGCAUGCAAGUUUGAAUCUUACACACACUCCUUCUAGGAAUUUUAUAUUUUGGUAUGGCCGUAGAAGAUAGGCAUGGAGUGUCUGCGGGAUUAUCUCUCCUUAUGGUCUUGAUGUGGCCUUGCUGAAGGUUAACUUGGCAUUUUGGCUAUGUGUUUUGGGGCUGAUGGUAGUCCUGUUAUCUUAGACAUUGUUCUUUUCUCCAAGCAAAUAUCAACAAGAAAUUGUGUUUCCAUUUGAUUAUGAAAGUGAGCUGUAUGCUUAGGAUCAUGCUGUUGAUAAUAACAUAUAUCUCAGUGACUACAGGUUAUGCUUGUGUUUGGUGACCUGAGAGGGUUUGAACAGACACUUUCUCUGUGGUGAUCAAUGUCAGAUACCACAGCAAUAGCACUCACAGGAAUUUAGAACCAGUCAAAACCUGAAUAGGAGAUAUAUGAGCAUGGACAGAGACAGAGAGAAAGAACAAUUGUUGAAGAGGCUAAGCAUGUGUGAGACAGAGGAAGACAGUGAGAGACAGAAAGAGAGAGCGGGGGGAGAGAGGGGGGGUGAAGUGGAAAAGAGGACACUGUGAUAUUAAAGCAGAUAUCUUGAUUGACAGAAAUAAGGAAACCAAAUAGGGAGAAUGUGAGUGAGAAACUGAGAAGCUCGGAGAGUCACUGCAAGUCAAUUUCAGAGAGAAAGUGAAGAAGCGAGAUAGAGAAAGAGUACAUAAGAAGUCCAUUGAUCUAACGUGGAUGAGAAUCUUAUAUGAUAUUUGAAUCAGAUCUCAUCGAAGGCAGAGUAGGACUAAUAGGUGUAGUAUGUUAUGAUUAUGGAGGGUGCUCCGAUUGUGGCCAAAUCUAUUAAGAUUCUGAUGGUUUCCAUGGGAAGAGUAAGGCCUGAUUUUCUCUGUCAUAUCCGGCUGAACUGAGAUAUACUUAUUUUUGUAGACAACUUCCAUUAAGCCAUGUUAGUGGUCUCAUUCUGUUGUGUACCUCGUGCCAAUUUCUUUGGAUGGUUCUCAAGUGAUGUACAUACUACUGUAGUUUUCGGGAUCAGAUAUUGGCUUCGUCCCAUCUUAAGAUCUUUGUUGCAUGGUAACCUCCAGGAAUUCGGUGAUAGAAUUGGGAAAAUUAUGUCCCCAAACAGUUCCUUGGAGGAAAAAUAUCUCUGAUAUGGAUUGUGAGGGCAAAUUUCUAGAAGACGGAAGGAGUGCUGAGAGAGCCCAAGUGUUCGAUAAAUUAAGAACUAACAACAAUGCAUCACAGUCUCCAUGAUUUGCAAGGAAUCCAAUAAAGUGGGGGUAUGUGCUAUUUGCUUUACUUUCAGGGACAGAGUCCCUGUCUCAUACCGGAAAAGGACGGCUUGCAGAGGAACUGAGUAUGGAACAUCAGAUGAAGUUGGAAGAAGCCUAACAUCGCCUGCCCUGAAGUCCUCAGUUGAAGCUCUCUUGCCUGAGGAUACCUGAAGUGAAAGGUAAGAAACACUUGACUUUCCAAAGGAACUCAAAGUGCUCAGGUGUUGAUAGAGCUCACAGGAGUUCCCAACCUUGAAUCAUGAUCCUAUGGGACCUGGUUCAGUCUCACUGUCUGUGGCUACUCCUGUGAUUGGAGAAUAGGCCCAUUGGUUCGUGGUAAAGGAUGUGAAUGUCUUGAAUUCUGUUCGCUCACCAAACCUGAUCUAUUUUGAGUAUACUAAGUGUCAUGGCAGGGGGUACACCAGCGUGCUUGGAUCGAUGAUGAUUUCCAAUAAAACAUUCCUUGGAAAGCUGAACAAAAUGAGUGAAAACUCAAUACCGCCACUAUCAUCGUGACUGAGGUCCAGCACCUGGGAUCACAUAUGUCACCGAGGGACUCACAUGGCCUCCAUUCAUCUUGCGAGACUUGGAUCCAGUGAGAGAGCCGUCAGAAUGUUCUUUGCUUGCCUAAAUCACCAGAAAUCAUGGCCUAAAUCAAGGCUUCACCUUUUGCUCUAAUGAUAACAUGCUUUCCGGUUGAGGAGAUCAUUGUCAGUAUCUUGGAAGUUAGCCCUACCAACUCCAUCAGCAAUAAUGUAUAGUAGGUUGUGAGGCAAAUGUAAGUUUAGCGGGGGCAGCAUAGUUCAACAAUGUACACUGGAAUGUCAGGAAAUGUGUUUCUGUCCGUGUCUGAAGCCUUCGCAUGAAUGAUGACACUUCUGUUUCAUAAAACAGAGAUACAUAACGGGAAGGUUACAGGCGACAUGUGGAAUGAGGCAGUAGCAAUUCUCAGGAACUAUGGGAAUGUGGACUCUUCCUGUGUGAAAACAAAGCUCUGUUUUCUUGAAAGACUGAUUGUGGCCAUGGCAAUUAGGUUGGAAAGAGAGCCUUGGAAUUUAAAAGGUUGGCAUGUAGCCUUCUUGUCUGUGGAUUUAGAAGUGCAUGCUUUCAAAUGUCCCAGGAUUCAUACCACCUUCAUGGAUGUAUGGAGAACACCCAUUUUAAUCCUAGUUUCUAUGUUUAUUGUUGGGACAUUUUUUGUCAGUCUAUCCGGGUAGUUUGCCAGCAGUUCUUAUGGAUUGACUGUACCAAAAUGGUCUGGACAUACAUCUCCUCCUCUUCUAGGAUCUAAGAAUGUGGGCAUGCAAGUUUGAAUCUUACACACACUCCUUCUAGGAAUUUUAUAUUUUGGUAUGGCCGUAGAAGAUAGGCAUGGAGUGUCUGCGGGAUUAUCUCUCCUUAUGGUCUUGAUGUGGCCUUGCUGAAGGUUAACUUGGCAUUUUGGCUAUGUGUUUUGGGGCUGAUGGUAGUCCUGUUAUCUUAGACAUUGUUCUUUUCUCCAAGCAAAUAUCAACAAGAAAUUGUGUUUCCAUUUGAUUAUGAAAGUGAGCUGUAUGCUUAGGAUCAUGCUGUUGAUAAUAACAUAUAUCUCAGUGACUACAGGUUAUGCUUGUGUUUGGUGACCUGAGAGGGUUUGAACAGACACUUUCUCUGUGGUGAUCAAUGUCAGAUACCACAGCAAUAGCACUCACAGGAAUUUAGAACCAGUCAAAACCUGAAUAGGAGAUAUAUGAGCAUGGACAGAGACAGAGAGAAAGAACAAUUGUUGAAGAGGCUAAGCAUGUGUGAGACAGAGGAAGACAGUGAGAGACAGAAAGAGAGAGCGGGGGGAGAGAGGGGGGGUGAAGUGGAAAAGAGGACACUGUGAUAUUAAAGCAGAUAUCUUGAUUGACAGAAAUAAGGAAACCAAAUAGGGAGAAUGUGAGUGAGAAACUGAGAAGCUCGGAGAGUCACUGCAAGUCAAUUUCAGAGAGAAAGUGAAGAAGCGAGAUAGAGAAAGAGUACAUAAGAAGUCCAUUCAUCUAACGUGGAUGAGAAUCUUAUAUGAUAUUUGAAUCAGAUCUCAUCGAAGGCAGAGUAGGACUAAUAGGUGUAGUAUGUUAUGAUUAUGGAGGGUGCUCCGAUUGUGGCCAAAUCUAUUAAGAUUCUGAUGGUUUCCAUGGGAAGAGUAAGGCCUGAUUUUCUCUGUCAUAUCCGGCUGAACUGAGAUAUACUUAUUUUUGUAGACAACUUCCAUUAAGCCAUGUUAGUGGUCUCAUUCUGUUGUGUACCUCGUGCCAAUUUCUUUGGAUGGUUCUCAAGUGAUGUACAUACUACUGUAGUUUUCGGGAUCAGAUAUUGGCUUCGUCCCAUCUUAAGAUCUUUGUUGCAUGGUAACCUCCAGGAAUUCGGUGAUAGAAUUGGGAAAAUUAUGUCCCCAAACAGUUCCUUGGAGGAAAAAUAUCUCUGAUAUGGAUUGUGAGGGCAAAUUUCUAGAAGACGGAAGGAGUGCUGAGAGAGCCCAAGUGUUCGAUAAAUUAAGAACUAACAACAAUGCAUCACAGUCUCCAUGAUUUGCAAGGAAUCCAAUAAAGUGGGGGUAUGUGCUAUUUGCUUUACUUUCAGGGACAGAGUCCCUGUCUCAUACCGGAAAAGGACGGCUUGCAGAGGAACUGAGUAUGGAACAUCAGAUGAAGUUGGAAGAAGCCUAACAUCGCCUGCCCUGAAGUCCUCAGUUGAAGCUCUCUUGCCUGAGGAUACCUGAAGUGAAAGGUAAGAAACACUUGACUUUCCAAAGGAACUCAAAGUGCUCAGGUGUUGAUAGAGCUCACAGGAGUUCCCAACCUUGAAUCAUGAUCCUAUGGGACCUGGUUCAGUCUCACUGUCUGUGGCUACUCCUGUGAUUGGAGAAUAGGCCCAUUGGUUCGUGGUAAAGGAUGUGAAUGUCUUGAAUUCUGUUCGCUCACCAAACCUGAUCUAUUUUGAGUAUACUAAGUGUCAUGGCAGGGGGUACACCAGCGUGCUUGGAUCGAUGAUGAUUUCCAAUAAAACAUUCCUUGGAAAGCUGAACAAAAUGAGUGAAAACUCAAUACCGCCACUAUCAUCGUGACUGAGGUCCAGCACCUGGGAUCACAUAUGUCACCGAGGGACUCACAUGGCCUCCAUUCAUCUUGCGAGACUUGGAUCCAGUGAGAGAGCCUUCAGAAUGUUCUUUGCUUGCCUAAAUCACCAGAAAUCAUGGCCUAAAUCAAGGCUUCACCUUUUGCUCUAAUGAUAACAUGCUUUCCGGUUGAGGAGAUCAUUGUCAGUAUCUUGGAAGUUAGCCCUACCAACUCCAUCAGCAAUAAUGUAUAGUAGGUUGUGAGGCAAAUGUAAGUUUACCGGGGGCAGCAUAGUUCAACAAUGUACACUGGAAUGUCAGGAAAUGUGUUUCUGUCCGUGUCUGAAGCCUUCGCAUGAAUGAUGACACUUCUGUUUCAUAAAACAGAGAUACAUAACGGGAAGGUUACAGGCGACAUGUGGAAUGAGGCAGUAGCAAUUCUCAGGAACUAUGGGAAUGUGGACUCUUCCUGUGUGAAAACAAAGCUCUGUUUUCUUGAAAGACUGAUUGUGGCCAUGGCAAUUAGGUUGGAAAGAGAGCCUUGGAAUUUAAAAGGUUGGCAUGUAGCCUUUUUGUCUGUGGAUUUAGAAGUGCAUGCUUUCAAAUGUCCCAGGAUUCAUACCACCUUCAUGGAUGUAUGAAGAACACCCAUUUUAAUCCUAGUUUCUAUGUUUAUUGUUGGGACAUUUUUUGUCAGUCUAUCCGGGUAGUUUGCCAGCAGUUCUUAUGGAUUGACUGUAUCAAAAUGGUCUGGACAUACAUCUCCUCCUCUUCUAGGAUCUAAGAAUGUGAGCAUGCAAGUUUGAAUCUUACACACACUCCUUCUAGGAAUUUUAUAUUUUGGUAUGGCCGUAGAAGAUAGGCAUGGAGUGUCUGCGGGAUUAUCUCUCCUUAUGGUCUUGAUGUGGCCUUGCUGAAGGUUAACUUGGCAUUUUGGCUAUGUGUUUUGGGGCUGAUGGUAGUCCUGUUAUCUUAGACAUUGUUCUUUUCUCCAAGCAAAUAUCAACAAGAAAUUGUGUUUCCAUUUGAUUAUGAAAGUGAGCUGUAUGCUUAGGAUCAUGCUGUUGAUAAUAACAUAUAUCUCAGUGACUACAGGUUAUGCUUGUGUUUGAUGACCUGAGAGGGUUUGAACAGACACUUUCUCCGUGGUGAUCAAUGUCAGAUACCACAGCAAUAGCACUCACAGGAAUUUAGAACCAGUCAAAACCUGAAUAGGAGAUAUAUGAGCAUGGACAGAGAUAGAGAAAGAACAAUUGUUGAAGAGGCUAAGCAUGUGUGAGACAGAGGAAGACAGUGAGAGACAGAAAGAGAGAGCGGGGGGAGUGAGGGGGGGUGAAGUGGAAAAGAGGACACUGUGAUAUUAAAGCAGAUAUCUUGAUUGACAGAAAUAAGGAAACCAAAUAGAGAGAAUGUGAGUGAGAAAGUGAGAAGCUAGGAGAGUCACUGCAAGUCAAUUUCAGAGAGAAAGUGAAGAAGCGAGAUAGAGAAAGAGUACAUAAGAAGUCCAUUCAUCGGGGCUGGGGAUUUAGCUCAGUGGUAGAGCGCUUGCCUAGGAAGCACAAGGCCCUGGGUUCGGUCCCCAGCUCCGGAAAAAAAAAAAAAAAAAAAAAAAAAAAAAAAAAAAAAAAGAACCAAAGAAGUCCAUUCAUCUAACGUGGAUGAGAAUCUUAUAUGAUAUUUGAAUCAGAUCUCAUCGAAGGCAGAGUAGGACUAAUAGGUGUAGUAUGUUAUGAUUAUGGAUGGUGCUCCGAUUGUGGCCAAAUCUAUAAGAUUCUGAUGGUUUCCAUGGGAAGAGUAAGGCCUGAUUUUCUCUGUCAUAUCCGGCUGAACUGAGAUAUACUUAUUUUUGUAGACACUUCCAUUAAGCCAUGUUAGUGGUCUCAUUCUGUUGUGUACCUCGUGCCAAUUUCUUUGGAUGGUUCUCAAGUGAUGUACAUACUACUGUAGUUUUCGGGAUCAGAUAUUGGCUUCGUCCCAUCUUAAGAACUUUGUUGCAUGGUAACCUCCAGGAAUUCGGUGAUAGAAUUGGGAAAAUUAUGUCCCCAAACAGUUCCUUGGAGGAAAAAUAUCUCUGAUAUGGAUUGUGAGGGCAAAUUUCUAGAGGACGGAAGGAGUGCUGAGAGAGCCCAAGUGUUCGAUAAAUUAAGAACUAACAACAAUGCAUCACAGUCUCCAUGAUAUGCAAGGAAUCCAAUAAAGUGGGGGAAUGUGCUAUUUGCUUCAUUUUCAGGGACAGAGUCCCUGUCUCAUACCGGAAAAGGACGGCUUGCAGAGGAACUGAGUAUGGAACAUCAGAUGAAGUUGGAAGAAGCCUAACAUCGCCUGCCCUGAAGUCCUCAGUUGAAGUUCUCUUGCCUGAGGAUACCUGAAGUGAAAGGUAAGAAACACUUGACUUUCCAAAGGAACUCAAAGUGCUCAAGUGUUGAUGGAGCUCGCAGGAGUUCCCAACCAUGAAUCAUGAUCCUUUGGGAUCUGGUUCAGCCUCACUGCCUGUUGCUACUCCUGUGAUUGGAGAAUAGGCCCAUUGGUUCGUGGUAAAGGAUGUGAAUGUCUUGAAUUCUGUUCGCUCACCAAACCUGAUCUAUUUUGAGUAUACUAAGUGUCAUGGCAGGGGGUACACCAGUGUGCUUGGAUCGAUGAUGAUUUCCAAUAAAACAUUCCUUGGAAAGCUGAACAAAAUGAGUGAAAACUCAAUACCGCCACUAUCAUCGUGACUGAGGUCCAGCACCUGGGAUCACAUAUGUCACCGAGGGACUCACAUGGCCUCCAUUCAUCUUGCGAGACUUGGAUCCAGUGAGAGAGCCGUCAGAAUGUUCUUUGCUUGCCUAAAUCACCAGAAAUCAUGGCCUAAAUCAAGGCUUCACCUUUUGCUCUAAUGAUAACAUGCUUUCCGGUUGAGGAGAUCAUUGUCAGUAUCUUGGAAGUUAGCCCUACCAACUCCAUCAGCAAUAAUGUAUAGUAGGUUGUGAGGCAAAUGUAAGUUUAGCGGGGGCAGCAUAGUUCAACAAUGUACACUGGAAUGUCAGGAAAUGUGUUUCUGUCCGUGUCUGAAGCCUUCGCAUGAAUGAUGACACUUCUGUUUCAUAAAACAGAGAUACAUAACGGGAAGGUUACAGGAGACAUGUGGAAUGAGGCAGUAGCAAUUCUCAGGAACUAUGGGAAUGUGGACUCUUCCUGUGUGAAAACAAAGCUCUGUUUUCUUGAAAGACUGAUUGUGGCCAUGGCAAUUAGGUUGGAAAGAGAGCCUUGGAAUUUAAAAGGUUGGCAUGUAGCCUUCUUGUCUGUGGAUUUAGAAGUGCAUGCUUUCAAAUGUCCCAGGAUUCAUACCACCUUCAUGGAUGUAUGGAGAACACCCAUUUUAAUCCUAGUUUCUAUGUUUAUUGUUGGGACAUUUUUUGUCAGUCUAUCCGGGUAGUUUGCCAGCAGUUCUUAUGGAUUGACUGUACCAAAAUGGUCUGGACAUACAUCUCCUCCUCUUCUAGGAUCUAAGAAUGUGGGCAUGCAAGUUUGAAUCUUACACACACUCCUUCUAGGAAUUUUAUAUUUUGGUAUGGCCGUAGAAGAUAGGCAUGGAGUGUCUGCGGGAUUAUCUCUCCUUAUGGUCUUGAUGUGGCCUUGCUGAAGGUUAACUUGGCAUUUUGGCUAUGUGUUUUGGGGCUGAUGGUAGUCCUGUUAUCUUAGACAUUGUUCUUUUCUCCAAGCAAAUAUCAACAAGAAAUUGUGUUUCCAUUUGAUUAUGAAAGUGAGCUGUAUGCUUAGGAUCAUGCUGUUGAUAAUAACAUAUAUCUCAGUGACUACAGGUUAUGCUUGUAUUUGGUGACCUGAGAGGGUUUGAACAGACACUUUCUCUGUGGUGAUCAAUGUCAGAUACCACAGCAAUAGCACUCACGGGAAUUUAGAACCAGUCAAAACCUGAAUAGGAGAUAUAUGAGCAUGGACAGAGACAGAGAGAAAGAACAAUUGUUGAAGAGGCUAAGCAUGUGUGAGACAGAGGAAGACAGUGAGAGACAGAAAGAGAUAGCGGGGGGAGAGAGGGGGGGUGAAGUGGAAAAGAGGACACUGUGAUAUUAAAGCAGAUAUCUUGAUUGACAGAAAUAAGGAAACCAAAUAGGGAGAAUGUGAGUGAGAAACUGAGAAGCUCGGAGAGUCACUGCAAGUCAAUUUCAGAGAGAAAGUGAAGAAGCGAGAUAGAGAAAGAGUACAUAAGAAGUCCAUUCAUCUAACGUGGAUGAGAAUCUUAUAUGAUAUUUGAAUCAGAUCUCAUCGAAGGCAGAGUAGGACUAAUAGGUGUAGUAUGUUAUGAUUAUGGAGGGUGCUCCGAUUGUGGCCAAAUCUAUUAAGAUUCUGAUGGUUUCCAUGGGAAGAGUAAGGCCUGAUUUUCUCUGUCAUAUCCGGCUGAACUGAGAUAUACUUAUUUUUGUAGACAACUUCCAUUAAGCCAUGUUAGUGGUCUCAUUCUGUUGUGUACCUCGUGCCAAUUUCUUUGGAUGGUUCUCAAGUGAUGUACAUACUACUGUAGUUUUCGGGAUCAGAUAUUGGCUUCGUCCCAUCUUAAGAUCUUUGUUGCAUGGUAACCUCCAGGAAUUCGGUGAUAGAAUUGGGAAAAUUAUGUCCCCAAACAGUUCCUUGGAGGAAAAAUAUCUCUGAUAUGGAUUGUGAGGGCAAAUUUCUAGAAGACGGAAGGAGUGCUGAGAGAGCCCAAGUGUUCGAUAAAUUAAGAACUAACAACAAUGCAUCACAGUCUCCAUGAUUUGCAAGGAAUCCAAUAAAGUGGGGGUAUGUGCUAUUUGCUUUACUUUCAGGGACAGAGUCCCUGUCUCAUACCGGAAAAGGACGGCUUGCAGAGGAACUGAGUAUGGAACAUCAGAUGAAGUUGGAAGAAGCCUAACAUCGCCUGCCCUGAAGUCCUCAGUUGAAGCUCUCUUGCCUGAGGAUACCUGAAGUGAAAGGUAAGAAACACUUGACUUUCCAAAGGAACUCAAAGUGCUCAGGUGUUGAUAUUGCUCACAGGAGUUCCCAACCUUGAAUCAUGAUCCUAUGGGACCUGGUUCAGUCUCACUGUCUGUGGCUACUCCUGUGAUUGGAGAAUAGGCCCAUUGGUUCGUGGUAAAGGAUGUGAAUGUCUUGAAUUCUGUUCGCUCACCAAACCUGAUCUAUUUUGAGUAUACUAAGUGUCAUGGCAGGGGGUACACCAGCGUGCUUGGAUCGAUGAUGAUUUCCAAUAAAACAUUCCUUGGAAAGCUGAACAAAAUGAGUGAAAACUCAAUACCGCCACUAUCAUCGUGACUGAGGUCCAGCACCUGGGAUCACAUAUGUCACCGAGGGACUCACAUGGCCUCCAUUCAUCUUGCGAGACUUGGAUCCAGUGAGAGAGCCUUCAGAAUGUUCUUUGCUUGCCUAAAUCACCAGAAAUCAUGGCCUAAAUCAAGGCUUCACCUUUUGCUCUAAUGAUAACAUGCUUUCCGGUUGAGGAGAUCAUUGUCAGUAUCUUGGAAGUUAGCCCUACCAACUCCAUCAGCAAUAAUGUAUAGUAGGUUGUGAGGCAAAUGUAAGUUUACCGGGGGCAGCAUAGUUCAACAAUGUACACUGGAAUGUCAGGAAAUGUGUUUCUGUCCGUGUCUGAAGCCUUCGCAUGAAUGAUGACACUUCUGUUUCAUAAAACAGAGAUACAUAACGGGAAGGUUACAGGCGACAUGUGGAAUGAGGCAGUAGCAAUUCUCAGGAACUAUGGGAAUGUGGACUCUUCCUGUGUGAAAACAAAGCUCUGUUUUCUUGAAAGACUGAUUGUGGCCAUGGCAAUUAGGUUGGAAAGAGAGCCUUGGAAUUUAAAAGGUUGGCAUGUAGCCUUUUUGUCUGUGGAUUUAGAAGUGCAUGCUUUCAAAUGUCCCAGGAUUCAUACCACCUUCAUGGAUGUAUGGAGAACACCCAUUUUAAUCCUAGUUUCUAUGUUUAUUGUUGGGACAUUUUUUGUCAGUCUAUCCGGGUAGUUUGCCAGCAGUUCUUAUGGAUUGACUGUAUCAAAAUGGUCUGGACAUACAUCUCCUCCUCUUCUAGGAUCUAAGAAUGUGAGCAUGCAAGUUUGAAUCUUACACACACUCCUUCUAGGAAUUUUAUAUUUUGGUAUGGCCGUAGAAGAUAGGCAUGGAGUGUCUGCGGGAUUAUCUCUCCUUAUGGUCUUGAUGUGGCCUUGCUGAAGGUUAACUUGGCAUUUUGGCUAUGUGUUUUGGGGCUGAUGGUAGUCCUGUUAUCUUAGACAUUGUUCUUUUCUCCAAGCAAAUAUCAACAAGAAAUUGUGUUUCCAUUUGAUUAUGAAAGUGAGCUGUAUGCUUAGGAUCAUGCUGUUGAUAAUAACAUAUAUCUCAGUGACUACAGGUUAUGCUUGUGUUUGAUGACCUGAGAGGGUUUGAACAGACACUUUCUCUGUGGUGAUCAAUGUCAGAUACCACAGCAAUAGCACUCACAGGAAUUUAGAACCAGUCAAAACCUGAAUAGGAGAUAUAUGAGCAUGGACAGAGAUAGAGAAAGAACAAUUGUUGAAGAGGCUAAGCAUGUGUGAGACAGAGGAAGACAGUGAGAGACAGAAAGAGAGAGCGGGGGGAGAGAGGGGGGGUGAAGUGGAAAAGAGGACACUGUGAUAUUAAAGCAGAUAUCUUGAUUGACAGAAAUAAGGAAACCAAAUAGAGAGAAUGUGAGUGUGAAAGUGAGAAGCUAGGAGAGUCACUGCAAGUCAAUUUCAGAGAGAAAGUGAAGAAGCGAGAUAGAGAAAGAGUACAUAAGAAGUCCAUUCAUCGGGGCUGGGGAUUUAGCUCAGUGGUAGAGCGCUUGCCUAGGAAGCACAAGGCCCUGGGUUCGGUCCCCAGCUCCGGAAAAAAAAAAAAAAAAAAAAAGAACCAAAGAAGUCCAUUCAUCUAACGUGGAUGAGAAUCUUAUAUGAUAUUUGAAUCAGAUCUCAUCGAAGGCAGAGUAGGACUAAUAGGUGUAGUAUGUUAUGAUUAUGGAUGGUGCUCCGAUUGUGGCCAAAUCUAUAAGAUUCUGAUGGUUUCCAUGGGAAGAGUAAGGCCUGAUUUUCUCUGUCAUAUCCGGCUGAACUGAGAUAUACUUAUUUUUGUAGACACUUCCAUUAAGCCAUGUUAGUGGUCUCAUUCUGUUGUGUACCUCGUGCCAAUUUCUUUGGAUGGUUCUCAAGUGAUGUACAUACUACUGUAGUUUUCGGGAUCAGAUAUUGGCUUCGUCCCAUCUUAAGAACUUUGUUGCAUGGUAACCUCCAGGAAUUCGGUGAUAGAAUUGGGAAAAUUAUGUCCCCAAACAGUUCCUUGGAGGAAAAAUAUCUCUGAUAUGGAUUGUGAGGGCAAAUUUCUAGAGGACGGAAGGAGUGCUGAGAGAGCCCAAGUGUUCGAUAAAUUAAGAACUAACAACAAUGCAUCACAGUCUCCAUGAUAUGCAAGGAAUCCAAUAAAGUGGGGGAAUGUGCUAUUUGCUUCAUUUUCAGGGACAGAGUCCCUGUCUCAUACCGGAAAAGGACGGCUUGCAGAGGAACUGAGUAUGGAACAUCAGAUGAAGUUGGAAGAAGCCUAACAUCGCCUGCCCUGAAGUCCUCAGUUGAAGUUCUCUUGCCUGAGGAUACCUGAAGUGAAAGGGACAGAGUCCUUGUCUCAUACCGGAAAAGGACGGCUUGCAGAGGAACUGAGUAUGGAACAUCAGAUGAAGUUGGAAGAAGCCUAACAUCGCCUGCCCUGAAGUCCUCAGUUGAAGCUCUCUUGCUUGAGUAUACCUGAAGUGAAAGGUAAGAAACACUUGACUUUCCAAAGGAAUUCAAAGUGCUCAAGUGUUGAUGGAGCUCGCAGGAGUUCCCAACCAUGAAUCAUGAUCCUUUGGGAUCUGGUUCAGCCUCACUGCCUGUGGUUACUCCUGUGAUUGGAGAAUAGGCCCAUUGGUUCGUGGUAAAGGAUGUGAAUGUCUUGAAUUCUGUUCGCUCACCAAACCUGAUCUAUUUUGAGUAUACUAAGUGUCAUAGCAGGGGGUACACCAGCGUGCUUGGAUCGGUGAUGAUUUCCAAUAAAACAUUCCUUGGAAAGCUGAACAAAAUGAGUGAAAACUCAAUAUCGCCACUAUCAUCGUGACUGAGGUCCAGCACCUGGGAUCACAAAUGUCAUUGAGGGACUCACAUGGCGUCCAUUCAUCUUGCGAGACUUGGAUCCAGUGAGAGAGCCUUCAGAAUGUUCUUUGCUUGCCUAAAUCACCAGAAAUCAUGGCCUAAAUCAAGGCUUCACCUUUUGCUCUAAUGAUAACAUGCUUUCCGGUUGAGGAGAUCAUUGUCAGUAUCUUGGAAGUUAGCCCUACCAACUCCAUCAGCAAUAAUGUAUAGUAGGUUGUGAGGCAAAUGUAAGUUUAGCGGGGGCAGCAUAGUUCAACAAUGUACACUGGAAUGUCAGGAAAUGUGUUUCUGUCCGUGUCUGAAGCCUUUGCAUGAAUGAAGACACUUCUGUUUCUUAAAACAGAGAUACAUAACGGGAAGGUUACAGGCGACAUGUGGAAUGAGGCAGUAGCAAUUCUCAGGAACUAUGGGAAUGUGGACUCUUCCUGUGUGAAAACAAAGCUCUGUUUUCUUGAAAGACUGAUUGUGGCCAUGGCAAUUAGGUUGGAAAGAGAGCCUUGGAAUUUAAAAGGUUGGCAUGUAGCCUUCUUGUCUGUGGAUUUAGAAGUGCAUGCUUUCAAAUGUCCCAGGAUUCAUACCACCUUCAUGGAUGUAUGGAGAACACCCAUUUUAAUCCUAGUUUCUAUGUUUAUUGUUGGGACAUUUUUUGUCAGUCUAUCCGGGUAGUUUGCCAGCAGUUCUUAUGGAUUGACUGUACCAAAAUGGUCUGGACAUACAUCUCCUCCUCUUCUAGGAUCUAAGAAUGUGAGCAUGCAAGUUUGAAUCUUACACACACUCCUUCUAGGAAUUUUAUAUUUUGGUAUGGCCGUAGAAGAUAGGCAUGGAGUGUCUGCGGGAUUUUCUCUCCUUAUGGUCUUGAUGUGGCCUUGCUGAAGGUUAACUUGGCAUUUUCGCUAUGUGUUUUGGGGCUGAUGGUAGUCCUGUUAUCUUAGACAUUGUUCUUUUAUCCAAGCAAAUAUCAACAAGAAAUUGUGUUUCCAAUUGAUUAUGAAAGUGAGCUGUAUGCUUAGGAUCAUGCUGUUGAUAAUAACAUAUAUCUCAGUGACUACAGGUUAUGCUUGUGUUUGGUGACCUGAGAGGGUUUGAACAGACACUUUCUCUGUGGUGAUCAAUGUCAGAUACCACAGCAAUAGCACUCACAGGAAUUUAGAACCAGUCAAAACCUGAAUAGGAGUUAUAUGAGCAUGGACAGAGACAGAGAGAAAGAACAAUUGUUGAAGAGGCUAAGCAUGUGUGAGACAGAGGAAGACAGUGAGAGACAGAAAGAGAGAGCGGGGGGAGAGAGGGGUGGUGAAUUGGAAAAGAGGACACUGUGAUAUUAAAGCAGAUAUCUUGAUUGACAGAAAUAAGGAAACCAAAUAGGGAGAAUGUGAGUGAGAAUCUGAGAAGCUAGGAGAGUCACUGCAAGUCAAUUUCAGAGAGAAAGUGAAGAAGCGAGAUAGAGAAAGAGUACAUAAGAGGUCCAUUCAUCUAACGUGGAUGAGAAUCUUAUAUGAUAUUUGAAUCAGAUCUCAUCGAAGGCAGAGUAGGACUAAUAGGUGUAGUAUGUUAUGAUUAUGGAGGGUGCUCCGAUUGUGGCCAAAUCUAUUAAGAUUCUGAUGGUUUCCAUGGGAAGAGUAAGGCCUGAUUUUCUCUGUCAUAUCCGGCUGAACUGAGAUAUACUUAUUUUUGUAGAAAACUUCCAUUAAGCCAUGUUAGUGGUCUCAUUCUGUUGUGUACCUCGUGCCAAUUUCUUUGGAUGGUUCUCAAGUGAUGUACAUACUACUGUAGUUUUCGGGAUCAGAUAUUGGCUUCGUCCCAUCUUAAGAACUUGGUUGCAUGGUAACCUCCAGGAAUUCGGUGAUAGAAUUGGGAAAAUUAUGUCCCCAAACAGUUCCUUGGAGGAAAAAUAUCUCUGAUAUGGAUUGUGAGGGCAAAUUUCUAGAAGACGGAAGGAGUGCUGAGAGAGCCCAAGUGUUCGAUAAAUUAAGAACUAACAACAAUGCAUCACAGUCUCCAUGAUUUGCAAGGAAUCCAAUAAAGUGGGGGUAUGUGCUAUUUGCUUUACUUUCAGGGACAGAGUCCCUGUCUCAUACCGGAAAAGGACGGCUUGCAGAGGAACUGAGUAUGGAACAUCAGAUGAAGUUGGAAGAAGCCUAACAUCGCCUGCCCUGAAGUCCUCAGUUGAAGCUCUCUUGCCUGAGGAUACCUGAAGUGAAAGGUAAGAAACACUUGACUUUCCAAAGGAACUCAAAGUGCUCAGGUGUUGAUGGAGCUCACAGGAGUUCCCAACCUUGAAUCAUGAUCCUAUGGGACCUGGUUCAGGCUCACUGCCUGUGGCUACUCCUGUGAUUGGAGAAUAGGCCCAUUGGUUCGUGGUAAAGGAUGUGAAUGUCUUGAAUUCUGUUCGCUCACCAAACCUGAUCUAUUUUGAGUAUACUAAGUGUCAUGGCAGGGGGUACACCAGCGUGCUUGGAUCGAUGAUGAUUUCCAAUAAAACAUUCCUUGGAAAGCUGAACAAAAUGAGUGAAAACUCAAUACCGCCACUAUCAUCGUGACUGAGGUCCAGCACCUGGGAUCACAAAUGUCACUGAGAAACUCACAUGGCCUCCAUUCAUCUUGCGAGACUUGGAUCCAGUGAGAGUGCCUUCAGAAUGUUCUUUGCUUGCCUAAAUCACCAGAAAUCAUGGCCUAAAUCAAGGCUUCAACUUUUGCUCUAAUGAUAACAUGCUUUCCGGCUGAGGAGAUCAAUGUCAGUAUCUUGGAAGUUAGGCCUACCAACUCCAUCAGCAAUAAUGUAUAGUAGGUUGUGAGGCAAAUGUAAGUUUAGCGGGGGCAGCAUAGUUCAACAAUGUACACUGGAAUGUGAGGAAAUGUGUUUCUGUCCGUGUCUGAAGCCUUCGCAUGAAUGAUGACACUUAUGUUUCAUAAAACAGAGAUACAUAACGGGAAGGUUACAGGCGACAUGUGGAAUGAGGCAGUAGCAAUUCUCAGGAAUUAUGGGAAUGUGGACUCUUCCUGUGUGAAAACAAAGCUCUGUUUUCUUGAAAGACUGAUUGUGGCCAUGUCAAUUGGGUUGGAAAGAGAGCCUUGGAAUUUAAAAGGUUGGCAUGUAGCCUUCUUGUCUGUGGAUUCUAGAAGUGUAUGCUUUCAAAUGUCCCAGGAUUCAUACCACCUUCAUGGAUGUAUGGAGAACACCCAUUUUAAUCCUAUUUCUAUGGUUAUUGUUGGGACAUUUUUGUCAGUCUAUCCGGGUAGUUUGCCAGCAGUUCUUAUGGAUUGACUGUACCAAAAUGGUCUGGACAUACAUCUCCUCCUCUUCUAGGAUCUAAGAAUGUGAGCAUGCAAGUUUGAAUCUUACACACACUCCUUCUAGGAAUUUUAUAUGUUGGUAAGGCCAUAGAACAUAGGCAUGGAGUGUCUGCGGGAUUAUCUCUCCUUAUGGUCUUGAUGUGGCCUUGCUGAAGGUUAACUUGGCAUUUUGGCUAUGUGUUUUGGGGCUGAUGGUAUUCCUGUUAUCUUAGACAUUGUUCUUUUCUCCAAGCAAAUAUCAACAAGAAAGUGUGUUUCCAUUUGAUUAUGAAAUUGAGCUGUAUGGUUAGGAUCAUGCUGUUGAUAAUAACAUAUAUCUCAGUGACUACAGGUUAUGCUUGUGUUUGGUGACCUGAGAGGGUUUGAACAGACACUUUCUCUGUGGUGAUCAAUGUCAGAUACCACAGCAAUAGCACUCACAGGAAUUUAGUACCAGUCAAAACCUGAAUAGGAGAUAUAUGAGCAUGGAGAGAGAGAGAGCAAGAACAAUUGUUGAAGAGGCUAAGCAUGUGUGAGACAGAGGAAGACAGUGAGAAACAGAAGAGAGAGAGGGGGGGAAGAGAGGGGGUGUGAGGUGGAAAAGAGGACACUGUGAUAUUAAAGCAGAUAUCUUGAUUGACAGAAAUAAGGAAACCAAAUAGAGAGAAUGUGAGUGAGAAACUGAGAAGCUAGGAGAGUCACUGCAAGUCAAUUUCAGAGAGAAAGUGAAGAAGCGAGAUAGAGAAAGAGUACAUAAGAAGUCCAUUCAUCUAAUGUGGAUGAGAAUCUUAUAUGAUAUUUGAAUCUGUUCUCAUCGAAGGCAGAGUAGGACUAAUAGGUGUAGUAUGUUAUGAUUAUGGAGGGAGCUCCGAUUGUGGCCAAAGCUAUUAAGAUUCUGAUGGUUUCCAUGGGAAGAGUAAGGCAUGAUUUUCUCUGUCAUAUCUGGCUGAACUGAGAUAUACUUAUUUUUGUAGACAACUUCCAUUAAGCCAUGUUAGUGGUCUCAUUCUGUUGUGUACCUCGUGCCAAUUUCUUUGGAUGGUUCUCAAGUGAUGUACAUACUACUGUAGUUUUCGGGAUCAGAUAUUGGCUUCGUCCCAUCUUAAGAACUUGGUUGCAUGGUAACCUCCAGGAAUUCGGUGAUUGAAUUGGGAAAAUUAUGUCCCCAAACAGUUCCUUGGAGGAAAAAUAUCUCUGAUAUGGAUUGUGAGGGCAAAUUUCUAGAGGACGGAAGGAGUGCUGAGAGAGCCCAAGUGUUCGAUAAAUUAAGAACUAACAACAAUGCAUCACAGUCUCCAUGAUUUGCAAGGAAUCCAAUAAAGUGGGGGAACGUGCUAUUUGCUUUAUUUUCAGGGACAGAGUCCCUGUCUCAUACCGGAAAAGGACGGCUUGCAGAGGAACUGAGUAUGGAACAUCAGAUGAAGUUGGAAGAAGCCUAACAUCGCCUGCCCUGAAGUCCUCAGUUGAAGCUCUCUUGCUUGAGUAUACCUGAAGUGAAAGGGACAGAGUCCCUGUCUCAUACCGGACAAGGACGGCUUGCAGAGGAACUGAGUAUGGAACAUCAGAUGAAGUUGGAAGAAGCCUAACAUGGCCUGCCCUGAAGUCCUCAGUUGAAGCUCUCUUGCCUGAGGAUACCUGAAGUGAAAGGGACAGAGUCCCUGUCUCAUACCGGACAAGGA
Molecule: non-coding RNA, 36578 nt
Organism: Rattus norvegicus (Norway rat)
Lineage: Eukaryota; Metazoa; Chordata; Mammalia; Rodentia; Muridae
Source: RefSeq, a predicted model, not a curated record